AGUGAACGCUGGCGGUAGGCCUAACACAUGCAAGUCGAACGGCAGCACAGGAGAGCUUGCUCUCUGGGUGGCGAGUGGCGGACGGGUGAGGAAUACAUCGGAAUCUGCCCAGUCGUGGGGGAUAACGUAGGGAAACUUACGCUAAUACCGCAUACGACCUUCGGGUGAAAGAGGGGGAUCGCAAGACCUCUCGCGAUUGGAUGAGCCGAUGUCGGAUUAGCUAGUUGGCGGGGUAAUGGCCCACCAAGGCGACGAUCCGUAGCUGGUCUGAGAGGAUGAUCAGCCACACUGGAACUGAGACACGGUCCAGACUCCUAAGGGAGGCAGCAGUGGGGAAUAUUGGACAAUGGGCGCAAGCCUGAUCCAGCCAUACCGCGUGGGUGAAGAAGGCCUUCGGGUUGUAAAGCCCUUUUGUUGGGAAAGAAAUCUUUCAGGCUAAUACCCUGGGAGGAUGACGGUACCCAAAGAAUAAGCACCGGCUAACUUCGUG
RNAcentral lists this ribosomal RNA (490 nucleotides) under uncultured bacterium. Its description in RNAcentral is "partial 16S ribosomal RNA". It matches the Rfam family "Bacterial small subunit ribosomal RNA", at positions 29 to 507 of the family's 1533-position model. The record is from RNAcentral.